RNAcentral lists this ribosomal RNA (329 nucleotides) under uncultured eukaryote. RNAcentral's name for it is "partial 18S ribosomal RNA". It matches the Rfam family "Eukaryotic small subunit ribosomal RNA", at positions 1470 to 1796 of the family's 1831-position model. The record is from RNAcentral.
CCCUUAGAUGUCCUGGGCCGCACGCGCGCUACACUGAGUGUCUGAGAUACGAGUCUGCCUGGUCCGGCAAGGUCUAGGUAAUCGCUAAAAGACACAUCAUGCUUGGGAUAGAUUAUUGCAAAUAUUAAUCUUGAACGAGGAACUCCUAGUAAGCGCAAGUCAACAGCUUGCGUUGAUUACGUCCCUGCCCUUUGUACACACCGCCCGUCGCUACUACUGAUUGGAUGUUUAAGCGAGGUUCUCGAACUGCUAGCGACUUAGCUUCGGUGAGGUCGCAGUGUGGGAAGUGAACCUAGCUUUGGUGUCUAGAGGAAGUAAAAGUCGUAACA